GACGAACGCUGGCGGCGUGCUUAACACAUGCAAGUCGAACGGAAAGGCCCUGCCUUUGUGGGGUGGUGGAGUUGAGAACGGGUGAGUUACACGUGAGUUACGUGCCCUUGACCUUGGGAUAACUUCAGGACACUGGAGCUAAUCCCAGAUAGGAGCUCCUGCUUCUUGGUGGGGGUUGGUUGGUUUCGGCGGUUGGUGAUGGACUCGCGGCCGAUCAGCUUGUUGGUGGGGUAGUGGCUUAGCAAGGCUAUGACGGGUAGCCGGCCUGAUAGGGUGACAGGCCACGUCGGGACUGAGAUGCGACCCAGCCUAGUACGAGACGGAGCAGUGGGGAAUAGUGUACUAUGGGCGGAAGCCUGGUGCGGCAAAGCCGCGCGCGGGAUGACGUCCUUCGGGUAGUGAAGCACUUUCGCCUGUCACGAGGCGUGAGUGACGGUAAUGGGUAAAGAAGCACCGGCUAACUACGUG
RNAcentral lists this ribosomal RNA (468 nucleotides) under uncultured bacterium. RNAcentral's name for it is "partial 16S ribosomal RNA". It matches the Rfam family "Bacterial small subunit ribosomal RNA", at positions 28 to 507 of the family's 1533-position model. The record is from RNAcentral.